Molecule: long non-coding RNA, 840 nt
Filed under: Chrysemys picta bellii (western painted turtle)
Lineage: Eukaryota; Metazoa; Chordata; Testudines; Emydidae
Description: lncRNA (ENSCPBG00000024097.1)
Source: RNAcentral
AACAUCAGCUAAUGGCUUUUGCAUCUCACUGAAAGGAGCAUUUCUUUAUGUAGAUCCUGCUUCUAUAGGAGUAUUGCAGCAGUCGAUGAGUGACCAAAUGGCAUUGACAACUUCAGAGAAGGGAGUUCUCUACUCUGAAAUGAGGAAGGACAUAGGAAAAAGAAAUGUGUAUGCCAAGGCUCAAAGUAGAUUGAGCUGCCCAGACUCUUAAGCCCAGACAAAAACAGAAUGGGUCUCAGCUGCAAGGGGCGAUGCUGGAAAGGUGGCUGAGUCUGAUUCCUGAAUGGCAAACAGAGAAUGCCCCAUGUCCACUUUGAGGUAUUGGAAAGAGUUGGGAUAGAAUGUCACCGAUCGUACCAGCAUUGUCUCCUUCCCCAUUCAAUGACCGGUCAAACUCCUCUGCAGACAGAUGACCUGUUAUCCUUCCCCAAGAUACACCAGCACCAUUUCCAUGAGUUGAUGGUGGCUGGCAAGAGCAGUUCACAGAAAUAGCUGAAGGAAACUCAGAUGUGCCUAUAUAACUUUAGUGUGGCAGGUUGGUAGCAUGGCUGCUCCUCAUUUAUAUUUAAUGAUUAUAACAUUAUGGUACUAUUUGUUUAUUUAAAGAUGAACUUCUGUGCUCAGUCAAACUUUAGACACAUUAUUUAAACAUAAGUCAAUUUGCCAAUCAUGUAUUUGUGGCUAUUUUCUUCCAUAAAUAGUUAAUAAUUAAAGAGAAAUGUUUGUAAACAAGAGCUUUUUCUCUCAACACUCAUCUCCUUCUCCUGCUCGUUCAUACUAAGAGGUCAUCACAAGCUACCCUGUAACUUUAGGAUCUUUCUGGCUUUGGAAAUGUAUAUA